RNAcentral lists this ribosomal RNA (1461 nucleotides) under uncultured bacterium. RNAcentral describes it as "bacterial SSU rRNA". It matches the Rfam family "Bacterial small subunit ribosomal RNA". The record is from RNAcentral.
UAGAGUUUGAUCCUGGCUCAGGAUAAACGCUGGCGGCGUGCCUAACACAUGCAAGUCGAACGCCCUGCUUACGGGCAGGGAGUGGCGGACGGGUGAGUAACACAUGGGAACCUACCCACCAGUGAGGGAUACCGGCGCGAAAGCGCCGACAAGCCCGCAUACGCUUCCCCUCUCGUGAGGGGAAGGAAAGCUUCUUCGGAGGCGCUGGUGGCUGGGCCUGUGGCCGAUUAGCUAGUUGGUGUGGUAAGAGCGCACCAAGGCGACGAUCGGUAGCUGGUCUGAGAGGACGAGCAGCCACACUGGGAUUGAGAACGGCCCAGACUCCUACGGGGGGCAGCAGUGAGGAAUUUUCGGCAAUGGGCGCAAGCCUGACCGAGCAACGCCGCGUGCAGGACGACGCGUUUCGGCGUGUAAACUGCUUUUCUGUGGGACGAGCAAGGACGGUACCACAGGAAGAAGCCCCGGCUAACUACGUGCCAGCAGCCGCGGUAAGACGUAGGGGGCGAGCGUUGUCCGGAGUUACUGGGCGUAAAGGGCCCGCAGGCGGGAGGGUGCGUUUGGUGUGACAGCUCGUGGCUUCACUACGAGAGGAUACCAAAGACGGCCGUUCUUGAGGGCCAGAGAGGGACCUGGAAGUCCGGGUGGAGCGGUGAAAUGCGUAGAGAUCCGGAGGAACACCGAAAGCGAAGGCAGGGUCCUGGCUGGCACCUGACGCUCGUGGGCGAAAGCUAGGGGAGCGAACGGGAUUAGAUACCCCGGUAGUCCUAGCCGUAAACGAUGACCACUAGGUGUGCGACGUAUCGACCCGUUGCGUGCCGGAGGUAACCCAUUAAGUGGUCCGCCUGGGGAGUACGGUCGCAAGAUUAAAACUCAAAGGAAUUGACGGGGACCCGCACAAGCAGCGGAGCGUGUGGUUUAAUUCGAUGCGACGCGAAGCACCUUACCAGGGUUUGACAUGCGCGCUGAGCGUCCAGAGGUGGGCGGGCCCGCAAGGGAGGCGCGCACAGGUGCUGCAUGGCUGUCGUCAGCUCGUGCCGUGAGGUGUUGGGUUAAGUCCCGCAACGAGCGCAACCCCUGUCGCCGGUUGAAUGGUCCGGCGAGACUGCCACGUUGAACGUGGAGGAAGGUGGGGAUGACGUCAAGUCAGCACGGCCCUGAUGUCCUGGGCGACACACACGCUACAAUGGCCGAGACAACGGGUAGCCAACCCGCGAGGGGGAGCCAAUCCCAGCAAAGUCGGCCUCAGUUCAGAUUGCAGGCUGCAACCCGCCUGCAUGAAGGAGGAGUUGCUAGUAACCGUGGGUCAGCAUACCACGGUGAAUACGUUCCCGGGUCUUGUACACACCGCCCGUCACACCACGAAAGUCGGCAACACCUGAAGCCGCUGGGCUAACGCGCACGCGAGGCAGGCGUCGAGGGUGGGGUCGGUGAUUGGGGUGAAGUCGUAACAAGGUAACCGUA